UAAAACACAGUAACUAUUGUUUUAGCGCAGUGUUCAUUUUAAGGUAAUUUGUAGUUUUAACAACGUACAUAGUAGGCCAAAACGCCAAUUUUUGUCCCUCUAUGUAGUAAGAACGCAUUACGCCAAGCGCUUCCCCUAAAGGGGAAGAAGGGGUUCUUCUUCUUCCCCUUUAGGGGAACUUUGGUGUGUUCUUCCCCUUUAGGGGAACCCCUUCUUCUUCCCCUUCGUUUUCACCCCUUUAGUUCAUCCCCUUUAGUUCCCCUAAAGGGGAUGAACUAAAGGGGAUGAACUAAAGGGGAAGAAGGGGAGCACUUCUUCAUCCCCUUUAGGGGAACUAAAGAAGACGGAGUCCCCUAAAGGGGAAGAAUAAGAGACUUUGGCUCCCCCUUCGUCUCCGUCCCCUUUAGGGGAAGAAAACGAAGAAGAGACUUUGGGGAUAACCUAAAGGGGAACUUUAGUUCAUCUUCUUUAGGGGAACUAAAGUUCCCCUUUAGGGGAAGAAGAAGAAGAAGAACUAAAGGGGAUGGAAGCCAAUCCCCCGGGGGUAACAACGUUGUAGGCUUAGACUCCGGCCUACUCCCUUAAGCUAUAGGGCGUAGACCCGAGUUUAGACAUAACAACGUAGUCUAAAUGACAAAGANACAUAUGUGAGGGCCCAUGGGCCCUCACAAAUGUUGUGCAAACAAAGGCUUCUCCUCCCAUAUGUCACAAGGCUUCAUUUAAACAUACGGCCUAGGCCAGAUUGUGUUACUAUGUUUUUUUUUAUUGCUAAAACCAUAUACCUUAAUUAAAANNN
Molecule: long non-coding RNA, 796 nt
Filed under: Volvox carteri
Lineage: Eukaryota; Viridiplantae; Chlorophyta; Chlorophyceae; Chlamydomonadales; Volvocaceae
Description: long non-coding RNA (VCAR_LNC004089)
Source: RNAcentral